RNAcentral lists this long non-coding RNA (517 nucleotides) under Rattus norvegicus (Norway rat). Its description in RNAcentral is "long non-coding RNA NONRATT008143". Lineage: Eukaryota; Metazoa; Chordata; Mammalia; Rodentia; Muridae. The record is from RNAcentral.
AAAAAAAAUCUAGCAAGAGGAACUCUCAAUUCUGAAUAUUUAUGCUCCAAAUGCGAGGUCACCCACAUUCACAAAAUAGUAACUUUGCUAAAGCUCAAAACACACACUGUACCUCACACAAUAUUAAUGAUAGACUUCCACACCCAACUCUCAUGAAUGGACAGAUCCUGGCAACAGAAACUAAGAAGAGACAAAGUGAAACCAACAGAAGUCAUGAACCAAAUGGAAUCUAUAGAAACUUUCAUUCUAAACUUAAAAAAUAUUCCUUUUUCUCAGUACCUCAAGGAACCUUAUAAAAAAAUAACCAUAAAAUCAGUCACAAAGAGGCCUGUACAGAUACAAGAAGAUAGAAAUAAUUCCAUGCAUCCUAUCAGACCACCAUGAACUAAGGCUGGUCUUCAAUAACAACAAAAAAUGGCAGAAAGCCCUCAUAAAAAUGGAUGCUGAAUAACGCUCUACUCAGUGAUGACUUGAUCAAGGAAGAAAUAAACAAAUUAAAGACUUUUUAGAAUUUAUU